UACAGAGGGUGCGAGCGUUAAUCGGAAUUACGGGGGGUAAAGCGUGCGUAGACGGUUAUUUAAGUCGGGUGUGAAAGCCCCGGGCUCAACCUGGGAAUUGCAUUCGAGACUGAAUAGCUAGGGUGCGGUAGAGGGAAGCGGAAUUUCCGGUGUAGCGGUGAAAUGCGUAGAUAUCGGAAGGAACAUCAGUGGCGAAAGCGGCUUCCUGGACCAGCACCGACGUUCAGGCACGAAAGCGUGGGGAGCAAACAGG
Molecule: ribosomal RNA, 253 nt
Filed under: uncultured bacterium
Lineage: Bacteria
Description: partial 16S ribosomal RNA
Rfam family: Bacterial small subunit ribosomal RNA
Source: RNAcentral